Molecule: long non-coding RNA, 717 nt
Organism: Gossypium arboreum
Lineage: Eukaryota; Viridiplantae; Streptophyta; Magnoliopsida; Malvales; Malvaceae
Exons: 2
Source: RefSeq, a predicted model, not a curated record
UUCAUGUCAUUGUUAUUCAUUAAAAAUUUAUCAUUUUAGUCCCCGAACUUUUAAUUUAAUUUAAAUGAGUUUAACCCUAAAAAUUGGGAUAUUUGCAUUUGUGAGUCUCUGGUGUUAACUUCAAAUGCAGCAGUGAAGAGGAAGAAAUCGGGAAGGGAAGACGAAGGAAUUUGGGUUAGGGUUUCAUUUUCAAAUCGGAAUUGGGGAUUAAAGUGAAGAGGAAGGAAUUGGGAAGGGAAGACAAAGGAAUUGAGGCUAGGGUUUCAUUUUCAAAUCAGAUGUGGGGAUUUCAGGAAUAGCCGGAGAAAGGGCCUUGUUGAAGUUCCUUAAGCUUGGGCAACGUCUACAGCUCACCGACGUUCAAGCCACUAUUAUGUGGGGCAUCGUUGUCACUACCGAUGCUCUUUGGCUCAUCCAGAUCCAAGAUGAAGAAGAAGAAGAAGAUGGAAAAUAAUAAAAUGCUUUGGUUUUUUUCAUUCAAAUUUUAAGGUAAUUUUGAGGAAGAAGAUGAAGAUUCAGAUGUUUGCGGGUUUCCAACUAUUUAAUUAUUGUUUUUUCUUUUAUUUGGGUUAGUAAUUAGUAUUAAGCAAAUUAUAUUUUUGUCCUUUAAAGUGGUAUACAAUACUUAUGGCAUGGUAAAUUAGGCCAUGUGACAUUAAAUGAUUGGUUUAUAUGUAAAAAAAUUAUAUCAUAUUUUUGUUAGAAUUUUUAAUGAAA